RNAcentral lists this long non-coding RNA (669 nucleotides) under Jatropha curcas. RNAcentral describes it as "long non-coding RNA (JCUR_LNC003280)". The record is from RNAcentral. Lineage: Eukaryota; Viridiplantae; Streptophyta; Magnoliopsida; Malpighiales; Euphorbiaceae.
UGGAGAGCGAAGUUCUAGCUUUGAUUCUGUCCUGAAGGAGUACUAGAUGGACCCGGGCGAUCUACGCAAAAUUAGAACGACACAAAAGAAAAUAAUUCUAUCAGACAAUAUUUCUUUACCACUCUAAGAAUUUUAUUUUAUAUUCUACAUUUUUUUCUACGUAAAUAAAUCUCGAUAUUUAAUUAACUAACAUUACUAACAUUAACUUAAUUAAACUAAUUAACUACAAAUAAUACAAUUAAGUUCAUUAACUUAUAUUACUAAAAUUAAAUUAAUCAACUAAAAUUAUUAAAAUUAAACUAACUAAAAUGACUAAAUUUAAUUAACUAUCAUUAAUAAAAUUAAAUUAAUUAACUAAAAUGUAUUUAAAUUAAUUUAUACCCCAAUAUAAUUUUUUUGUCGAAUUUCUGCUAGAUCAAAUUUCCACGCGUGUCGGAUCGGAGAGCAAUAGCUGUUGGUGGUCGGAGGCACGCUGGAGCGGCGGCAGGGGCGUGAUCCGGUGGUCAGAGGCUUGCUGGAGCUGCUGCAGGCCGGCGAUGGCGCGACAAGAUGGAGGAGGCGCUGCUGUGAUGGAGAUCCACUCGAGCUGGUGCUGCGUGCGGCUGCGACUGGCGUGGCGCUGGAGCUGCGUGCGGCUGCGACCGGCGUGGCGCCGGUGUCGGGGGGUCA